Molecule: ribosomal RNA, 481 nt
Filed under: uncultured bacterium
Lineage: Bacteria
Description: partial 16S ribosomal RNA
Rfam family: Bacterial small subunit ribosomal RNA
Source: RNAcentral
GACGAACGCUGGCGGCGUGCUUAACACAUGCAAGUCGAACGAUGAAGGAGAGCUUGCUCUCCGGAUUAGUGGCGAACGGGUGAGUAACACGUGACUAACCUGCCCCUUUCUCUGGGAUAACGCUCCGAAAGGAGUGCUAAUACCGGAUACGAACUCUGAACACAUGUUCGGAGUUGGAAAGUUUUUCGGAAAGGGAUGGAGUCGCGGCCUAUCAGCUUGUUGGUGAGGGAACGGCUCACCAAGGCGACGACGGGUAGCCGGCCUGAGAGGGCGACCGGCCACACUGGGACUGAGACACGGCCCGGACUCCUACGGGAGGCAGCAGUGGGGAAUAUUGCACAAUGGGCGAAAGCCUGAUGCAGCGACGCCGCGUGAGGGAUGAAGGUCUUCGGAUUGUAAACCUCUUUCAGUAGGGACGAAGCGAAAGUGACGGUACCUAAAGAAGAAGCACCGGCUAACUACGCGCCAGCCGCCGCCGUAA